GGUUCGGUGGUCUAGGGGUAUGAUUCUCGCUUAGGGUGCGAGAGGUCCCGGUUCAAAUCCCGGCCGAACCC
RNAcentral lists this transfer RNA (71 nucleotides) under Trichonephila clavata. It matches the Rfam family "tRNA". Rfam says of the family: Transfer RNA (tRNA) molecules are approximately 80 nucleotides in length. Their secondary structure includes four short double-helical elements and three loops (D, anti-codon, and T loops). Lineage: Eukaryota; Metazoa; Arthropoda; Arachnida; Araneae; Nephilidae. The record is from Rfam by way of RNAcentral.